UACGGGAGGCAGCAGUGGGGAAUAUUGCACAAUGGGCGCAAGCCUGAUGCAGCCAUGCCGCGUGUAUGAAGAAGGCCUUCGGGUUGUAAAGUACUUUCAGUCGUGAGGAAGGUGUUAAGGUUAAUAACCUUAGCAAUUGACGUUAGCGACAGAAGAAGCACCGGCUAACUCCGUGCCAGCAGCCGCGGUAAUACGGAGGGUGCGAGCGUUAAUCGGAAUUACUGGGCGUAAAGGGCACGCAGGCGGUUAAUUAAGUUGGAUGUGAAAUCCCCGGGCUUAACCUGGGAAUGGCAUUCAAGACUGGUUAGCUAGAGUCUUGUAGAGGGGGUAGAAUUCCAUGUGUAGCGGUGAAAUGCGUAGAGAUGUGGAGGAAUACCGGUGGCGAAAGGCGGCCCCUGGACAAAGACUGACGCUCAUGUGCGAAAGCGUGGGGAGCAAAC
RNAcentral lists this ribosomal RNA (440 nucleotides) under uncultured bacterium. Its description in RNAcentral is "bacterial SSU rRNA". It matches the Rfam family "Bacterial small subunit ribosomal RNA", at positions 340 to 773 of the family's 1533-position model. The record is from RNAcentral.